CGGCUCAGUAACACGUAGCUAACCUGACCUUAGGUCAAAGAUAAUCUCGGGAAACUGAGGAUAAACUUUGAUAGAAAAUGUUUUCUGGAAUGAGAUAUUUUUUAAAUUCGUGCCUAAGGAUGGGGCUGCGGCUGAUUAGCUAGUUGUUGGUGUAAUAGACUAACAAGGCGAUGAUCAGUAAGGGCUCUUAGCGGAGAAGCCCUGAGAAGGAAUCUGAGACACUAUUCCUAGCUCUACGGGGUGCAGCAGUCGAGGAACUUUUCCAAUGCUCGUAAGGGUGAGAAAAUUAGCCAGAGUGUUUUCUUUACGAAAACUUUUAUCUGCUGUAAAAAGGCGGAUGAAUAAGGACUGGGCAAGACCGGUGCCAGCCGCCGCGGUAAUCCCGGCGGUCCAAGUCGCAUCCACAAUUACUGGGUCUAAAACAUUCGUAGCUUGCUUUAUAAGUCUCUCGUGAAAUCUCAUAUCUCAAGUAUGAGGCGUGCAAGAGAUACUAUUUAGCUAGAGACUGGAAGACGCAAAGAGUACGAUGGAGGUAGUGGUAAAAUAUGUUAAUCUUCAUCGGACUAACAAUGGCGAAGGCACUUUGCGAGUACAGAUCUGACAGUGAGGAAUGAAGGCUAGGGGCGCAAAAGGGAUUAGAUACCCCUGUAGUCCUAGCAGUAAACACUGCUCACUAAACA
This 680-nucleotide ribosomal RNA is filed under the name uncultured archaeon. RNAcentral describes it as "bacterial SSU rRNA". It matches the Rfam family "Archaeal small subunit ribosomal RNA", at positions 83 to 773 of the family's 1478-position model. The record is from RNAcentral.